GACGAACGCUGGCGGCGUGCUUAACACAUGCAAGUCGAACGGAAAGGCCCCUCUGGGGGUACUCGAGUGGCGAACGGGUGAGUAACACGUGAGUAACCUGCCCUGCAUUUCGGGAUAACUUCAGGAAACUGGGGCUAAUACCGGAUAGGAAUCCUUGCCGCAUGGUGGGGGUUGGAAAGCUUCGGGGGUUUUGGAUGGAUUCGGGGCUUAUCAGUUUGUUGGUGGGGUAGUGGCUUACCAAGGCUUUGACGGGUAGCCGGCCUGAGAGGGCGAACGGCCACAUUGGGAAUGGGAUACGGCCCAGAGCCCUGCGGGAGGCAGGAGUGGGGAAUAUUGCACAAUGGGCGGGAGCCUGAUGCAGCAACGCCGCGUGCGGGGUGACGGCCUUCGGGUUGUAAACCGCUUUCAGCAGGGGAGAAGCUUGUGGUGACGGUACCUGCAGAAGAAGCACCGGCUAACUACGUG
This 465-nucleotide ribosomal RNA is filed under the name uncultured bacterium. RNAcentral describes it as "partial 16S ribosomal RNA". It matches the Rfam family "Bacterial small subunit ribosomal RNA", at positions 28 to 507 of the family's 1533-position model. The record is from RNAcentral.